Long non-coding RNA from Gallus gallus (chicken), 763 nucleotides. RefSeq lists it as uncharacterized. The transcript is spliced from 2 exons. NCBI's taxonomy places the organism in Eukaryota, Metazoa, Chordata, Aves, Galliformes, Phasianidae. The record is from RefSeq and is a predicted model, not a curated record.
GCCUUGUGAGCAUGGGGGGAAAGCUGUUUGUAACUGCUGGGCAGCAGACGAGCUGUGAGGUCAUAACUGUGUUCUGUGUGUGCUCUGGAUAAGAAGAGCUCAGGUUCCAUGGCAUGAGUCCACGGCUCUUUUGCUAACCGCAAGGGAAACAAAGAUUCUCACUUGUGCUCCAGGGGAAUCUUCUGGGAGGGACGAGCGCUUCCUUCCCACUGCUGGCUCCAAGGGAUCCAUCCUCUCUUUGCUCUGUGCAACCUCUGCGUUCCCCCGGGCGCAUCGUUUGCGGUGCUGGGGGCAGGAAGGGCACCCCCUGAGUCCCAACCAUCACUGCCAGCCACCUUCUAGCCUCUCGCUGCUUUUUGAAGCCUUUCUGCUCAGGGAAAGCCCUCCUCACAGAGCCAACCCUGUUGAAAGCAAAACAUGUUUAGCAAAAACAUUCCUGGAAACGGCUUGUGCUCACGCACCGCUCCGCCAACAUCGGUACGGCUUCUCCUCCGAUCAGCGCCAGCCCCGGCGCUGCUGCCAAGCCAGGAAAGUUUGACAAUGAAAGGAUUCCAUCAUCACUCUCGCACACAUUUCCUAACGCUUAUUUGAAUGCUCAAACAUCUGGGAGAGAUACACGCUCCGCUCCCAGAGCCGUUUGCUUUGGCUGUGCUGGAAGGGCCGCGCGGGGCGGCAGCGCCUGUGUGGGCUGCAGCUCUGCUCAAGUUGGAAGUGCGAGGAGAGAAUUAUUUUCAAAGUGCAUGACAAGCAAUUAACAGCUUCC